Schistosoma margrebowiei is the source of this 46-nucleotide non-coding RNA. The record is from Rfam. Lineage: Eukaryota; Metazoa; Platyhelminthes; Trematoda; Strigeidida; Schistosomatidae.
GCACUGCUGAGGAGUCCCAUACCAGGACAAAACGGCCGUCCAGUGC